This 468-nucleotide ribosomal RNA is filed under the name uncultured bacterium. RNAcentral describes it as "partial 16S ribosomal RNA". It matches the Rfam family "Bacterial small subunit ribosomal RNA", at positions 28 to 507 of the family's 1533-position model. The record is from RNAcentral.
GACGAACGCUGGCGGCGUGCUUAACACAUGCAAGUCGAACGGAAAGGCCCUGCUUUUGUGGGGUGCUCGAGUGGCGAACGGGUGAGUAACACGUGAGUAACCUGCCCUUGACUUUGGGAUAACUUCAGGAAACUGGGGCUAAUACCGGAUAGGAGCUCCUGCUGCAUGGUGGGGGUUGGAAAGUUUCGGCGGUUGGGGAUGGUCUCGCGGCUUAUCAGCUUGUUAGUGGGGUAGUGGCUUACCAAGGCUUUGACGGGUAGCCGGCCUGGGAGGGUGACCGGCCACAUUGGGACUGAGAGACGGCCCAGACGCCUACGGGACGCAGCAGUGGGGAAUAUUGCACAAUGGGCGGAAGCCAGAUGCAGCAACGCCGCGUGCGGGAUGACGGCCUUCGGGUUGUAAACCGCUUUCGCCUGUGACGAAGCGGGAGUGACGGUAAUGGGUAAAGAAGCACCGGCUAACUACGUG